GAAAGAUUUUACCUAUAACUUUAUUCUUCUUUCCAUUUUUUAUAGGUGUACAAAGCAAACUUCUAAUGCACUGCUGGUUUACAUUUCCUGUAUUUUCAGUCUAAACAAAAAUAAAAAGAACAAAACAGCUAAAAUGAUGAGGGAAAGCACAGAUCAUUCCUAAACAGUCAAUUCUAGAGCCAGUCCUUCAGUUCAAGAAUAACUCAACAGCCUAGAGAGAAGAAAAUAAGAAGCUAUAGUGAAAAAAAGAAGAAAAAUGAAAAGGUGACCACCAGGAGAAUGAAGUAUAUUGGAGAAGU
Molecule: long non-coding RNA, 299 nt
Organism: Pan troglodytes (chimpanzee)
Lineage: Eukaryota; Metazoa; Chordata; Mammalia; Primates; Hominidae
Exons: 3
Source: RefSeq, a predicted model, not a curated record